GUCGAAUCAUUAUUAUGCCAUUAGCCACUAGAACAAGUUAGGUUAGACUUGAUUGUAUAUCAUUCUCACAAUUAACAUCAAUAGUAUCUGAGGGCUAACAUAUUGACGGUGCUGCUCUGCCAAACAUUUUAUAACAAUGGUAUGCAAUAGAGACACAGUACCCACCUCAUCCGAAAGCACACACCGAUCGAAUCAACCAGCUUCAAGGGAGACAACUCAUUUUCAUGGUGAAGCAUAUUGCAACUUGGUUGAAUUUUUAAACAGAUGAUAAGACUAGUCAUUACCCAGAUAAGCUAAUUUGAUUUGACUAAUUAAUUACAUUUGGCAUCAACGAUCGCAUCCCAAAAUUUGCAUAAUUAUCAUAUGCUGUUGCUGUAGUCUCCAUCCAAUGAAAACAAUUCGCCUAAUCCAAUCUGCAGCUUGUCACCGCUAAUUGAAGAAGCCACCUGAAACUCUCCAAAUGUUGGGUGAAGUUCGCUAAAGAUUCCUAAAUGAUUACUAACAUCAUGUCAGGUUGUUAUGAACCAGACAUCUCAACAAACGUCCUAAGAUAAGACACACCACCAUCUAAGUGAGAUAAAACUUUUCACACUGUCUGCUUUGUUUCAUGUUCCAUCUUCUAAAGAGUGUCAGUUUAGUCACGAAAUUUGCCAUUAAAGUUGAGACAGUAGUACCUGUAUCAAUGAUAUUCCAGUGGUGAGUUCCCAUUCUUGGAGGGAUUAAAUCAAGAGUACAAUGCCUAAUCAAUGGCCUGCACUUAACAAGAAUAAUGAUUAUAUAUCACAGAAAAAGAAAUCUUAUGUUGUAUAGAUUAAAACAUAAAGAAACCGACUUGUGAAUAGAAAAUCAAAUUAAGUUUUUAGCCUUGAGCCGCCUUGAUCUACGACUAAAUGGGGAACCCCACCUUUUUUGUCCCCUGAUCUUGGCAGAAAAAUCCUUCUGGGGGAAGCUAGCAUGCAAAGAAUGGGUACCAAGAAAAGUUAACCCAAAAGCAAGAGAAACAGAGAAAAUAGACUUCAUCAUCCCAACUUAGCCCU
This 1037-nucleotide unclassified non-coding RNA is filed under the name Hevea brasiliensis (rubber tree). Lineage: Eukaryota; Viridiplantae; Streptophyta; Magnoliopsida; Malpighiales; Euphorbiaceae. The record is from RNAcentral.